RNAcentral lists this ribosomal RNA (497 nucleotides) under uncultured bacterium. RNAcentral's name for it is "partial 16S ribosomal RNA". It matches the Rfam family "Bacterial small subunit ribosomal RNA", at positions 28 to 507 of the family's 1533-position model. The record is from RNAcentral.
GAUGAACGCUGGCGGCGUGCCUAAUACAUGCAAGUCGAGCGAACAGAUAAGGAGCUUGCUCCUUUGACGUUAGCGGCGGACGGGUGAGUAACACGUGGGUAACCUACCUAUAAGACUGGGAUAACUUCGGGAAACCGGAGCUAAUACCGGAUAAUAUUUCGAACCGCAUGGUUCGAUAGUGAAAGAUGGUUUUGCUAUCACUUAUAGAUGGACCCGCGCCGUAUUAGCUAGUUGGUAAGGUAACGGCUUACCAAGGCGACGAUACGUAGCCGACCUGAGAGGGUGAUCGGCCACACUGGUACUGAGACACAGUCCAGACUCCUACGGGAGGCAGCAGUAGGGAAUCUUCCGCAAUGGGCGAAAGCCUGACGGAGCAACGCCGCGUGAGUGAUGAAGGUCUUCGGAUCGUAAAACUCUGUUAUUAGGGAAGAACAUACGUGUAAGUAACUGUGCACGUCUUGACGGUACCUAAUCAGAAAGCCACGGCUAACUACGUG